Kogia breviceps (pygmy sperm whale) is the source of this 559-nucleotide non-coding RNA. Lineage: Eukaryota; Metazoa; Chordata; Mammalia; Artiodactyla; Physeteridae. The record is from RefSeq and is a predicted model, not a curated record.
ACCCCUGGUGAUCAACUUAGGAUUUUGUUGAUCAUGAAAAUUUUUAGAUAAAAGAUCAGAAAUUACAAAACUGCCCUUGAAAUGCUGUACCAGUUCUGAAAUAUUAUCUCUGGACAGGCCCUGAUAUGCUAAUAAAUGCCCUGUGCUCCAAACUAUACAGGUAGCAUGUGAAGACAGCAGUGAGAUCCCUCCUGAGGACUUGGUAAUAAGAUAUCCCCAGAGGGUCAAACUAGUUUAAUCAUCAUGUGAGAAGAGCCUCAACGUUUCCCAGAUGUGGAAAUUGAGGCACAGAGAGGUUUAGUAAUCAUCCAAGGUCACUCAGCUGAUCCUGACGAGAUAGGGGAAGAGAGCUGCCACAGUAUAAUAUAACCAGGAGCUGACAACUGUACACAGUGCCCAGUAGGCUAGUAAUGGACGUGGAAGCGCCCAUGGGGAAUCUGUUGAGUUGGACGCACACAGGAGACCCACCCCGUUCUCCACCAUUCACAGUAGCCGUGGCUGCCAGACGCUCCCUUCAGCUUCUGAUUCCAGCCAGAGUCUUGCUGUCAUGGACUUCACA